This 408-nucleotide ribosomal RNA is filed under the name uncultured bacterium. RNAcentral describes it as "partial 16S ribosomal RNA". It matches the Rfam family "Bacterial small subunit ribosomal RNA", at positions 28 to 526 of the family's 1533-position model. The record is from RNAcentral.
GACGAACGCUGGCGGCGUGCUUAACACAUGCAAGUCGAACGAAGUGACGAACGGGUGAGUAAUACGUGAGUAACCUGCCCUCCUGUUUGGGAUAAGCCUUGGAAACGUGGUCUAAUACCGAAUAAAGGGGGAUGGGCGCGCGGCCUAUCAGCUGGUUGGUGGGGUGAUGGCCUCCAAAGGCGGUGACGGGUAGCAGGCGUGAGAGGGUGACCGGCCAGAUUGGGACUGGGAUACGGCCCAGACUGCGACGGGAGUCAGAAGUGGGGGCGAUGGCACUAUGGUCGAAAGCCUGAUGGAGCCGCGCAGCGUGGGGGCUUAAGGCUUUCGGGUUGUAAUCCUCUUUCGCUAUCGAACGGGUAGGUAGAGAAGAAGCGCCGGCUAACUACGUGCCAGCAGCCGCGGUAAUUC